Molecule: transfer RNA, 74 nt
Filed under: Anas platyrhynchos (mallard)
Lineage: Eukaryota; Metazoa; Chordata; Aves; Anseriformes; Anatidae
Also listed under: 2 other names
Rfam family: tRNA
About the family: Transfer RNA (tRNA) molecules are approximately 80 nucleotides in length. Their secondary structure includes four short double-helical elements and three loops (D, anti-codon, and T loops).
Source: Rfam by way of RNAcentral
GUCUCUGCAGUGCAAUAGGUUAGUGCAUUUAGCUGUUAACUGAAAGGUUGGUGGAUCAAGCCCACCCAGGGAGG